This 254-nucleotide ribosomal RNA is filed under the name uncultured bacterium. Its description in RNAcentral is "partial 16S ribosomal RNA". It matches the Rfam family "Bacterial small subunit ribosomal RNA", at positions 524 to 776 of the family's 1533-position model. The record is from RNAcentral.
UACGAAGGGGGCGAGCGUUGUUCGGAAUUAGCUGGGCGUAAAGGGCGCGCAGGCGGCCUUAGAAGUCAGAUGUGAAAGCCCCGGGCUCAACCUGGGAAUGGCAUUUGAUACUCUGAGGCUGGAGUACGGGAGAGGAGAGUGGAAUUCCCAGUGUAGAGGUGAAAUUCGUAGAUAUUGGGAAGAACACCGGUGGCGAAGGCGGCUCUCUGGACCGUAACUGACGCUGAGGCGCGAAAGCGUGGGGAGCAAACAGG